GGCGGAUGUAGCCAAGUGGAUUAAGGCA
This 28-nucleotide transfer RNA is filed under the name Cardamine flexuosa (woodland bittercress). RNAcentral describes it as "partial tRNA-His". The record is from RNAcentral. RNAcentral also lists the same sequence under 5 other names. Lineage: Eukaryota; Viridiplantae; Streptophyta; Magnoliopsida; Brassicales; Brassicaceae.